Molecule: long non-coding RNA, 258 nt
Filed under: Elaeis guineensis (African oil palm)
Lineage: Eukaryota; Viridiplantae; Streptophyta; Magnoliopsida; Arecales; Arecaceae
Description: long non-coding RNA (EGUI_LNC035688)
Source: RNAcentral
AUAGAUUCGAUGGUCACUGCCAACCAAUUUAAAUUACUCCUAUUUUCUUAAGCAUAGUAGUCCAAAGCCUGUAGAGGCCAUGCAUCUAGUAGCGUGUCAAGCAAUCAUGGAGCGCCAGCAUGACCAAGUCUUCCAUGCACCUCCUUGGUGGAGUUUAGAGUGGAGUCAUCACUCCUGCUCCUUGAGUUUUGGAAGAGUUUUUUAUGGUCACCGAUCUUCUCAUUAGAGCUUGGAGCUAGCCAGCCUCUCAUUGCCGCC